AUGAGUGGCAGACGGGUGAGUAACACGUGGGAACGUGCCCUCCGGUCUGGGAUAACCCUGGGAAACUAGGGCUAAUACCGGAUACGUGCUUUGGCAGAAAGGUUUACUGCCGGAGGAUCGGCCCGCGUCUGAUUAGCUAGUUGGUGGGGUAACGGCCUACCAAGGCGACGAUCAGUAGCUGGUCUGAGAGGAUGAUCAGCCACACUGGGACUGAGACACGGCCCAGACUCCUACGGGAGGCAGCAGUGGGGAAUAUUGGACAAUGGGCGCAAGCCUGAUCCAGCCAUGCCGCGUGAGUGAUGACGGCCUUAGGGUUGUAAAGCUCUUUUCUCCGGGACGAUAAUGACGGUACCGGAGGAAUAAGCCCCGGCUAACUUCGUGCCAGCAGCCGCGGUAAUACGAAGGGGGCUAGCGUUGCUCGGAAUCACUGGGCGUAAAGGGCGCGUAGGCGG
RNAcentral lists this ribosomal RNA (452 nucleotides) under uncultured Methylobacterium sp. RNAcentral describes it as "bacterial SSU rRNA". It matches the Rfam family "Bacterial small subunit ribosomal RNA", at positions 91 to 578 of the family's 1533-position model. The record is from RNAcentral. Lineage: Bacteria; Pseudomonadati; Pseudomonadota; Alphaproteobacteria; Hyphomicrobiales; Methylobacteriaceae.